GGCGAGUGGCGAACGGGUGAGUAAUACAUCGGAACGUGUCCUGGAGUGGGGGAUAGCCCGGCGAAAGCCGGAUUAAUACCGCAUACGCUCUGUGGAGGAAAGCGGGGGAUCUUCGGACCUCGCGCUCAAGGGGCGGCCGAUGGCAGAUUAGCUAGUUGGUGGGGUAAAGGCCUACCAAGGCGACGAUCUGUAGCUGGUCUGAGAGGACGACCAGCCACACUGGGACUGAGACACGGCCCAGACUCCUACGGGAGGCAGCAGUGGGGAAUUUUGGACAAUGGGGGCAACCCUGAUCCAGCAAUGCCGCGUGUGUGAAGAAGGCCUUCGGGUUGUAAAGCACUUUUGUCCGGAAAGAAAACCUCCGUCCUAAUACGGUGGGGGGAUGACGGUACCGGAAGAAUAAGCACCGGCUAACUACGUGCCAGCAGCCGCGGUAAUACGUAGGGUGCAAGCGUUAAUCGGAAUUACUGGGCGUAAAGCGUGCGCAGGCGGUUCGCUAAGACCGAUGUGAAAUCCCCGGGCUUAACCUGGGAACUGCAUUGGUGACUGGCGGGCUAGAGUAUGGCAGAGGGGGGUAGAAUUCCACGUGUAGCAGUGAAAUGCGUAGAGAUGUGGAGGAAUACCGAUGGCGAAGGCAGCCCCCUGGGCCAAUACUGACGCUCAUG
RNAcentral lists this ribosomal RNA (665 nucleotides) under Paraburkholderia caribensis. Its description in RNAcentral is "bacterial SSU rRNA". It matches the Rfam family "Bacterial small subunit ribosomal RNA", at positions 90 to 751 of the family's 1533-position model. The record is from RNAcentral. Lineage: Bacteria; Pseudomonadati; Pseudomonadota; Betaproteobacteria; Burkholderiales; Burkholderiaceae.